This 854-nucleotide ribosomal RNA is filed under the name uncultured Neocallimastigales. RNAcentral's name for it is "partial large subunit ribosomal RNA". It matches the Rfam family "Eukaryotic large subunit ribosomal RNA", at positions 1 to 646 of the family's 3401-position model. The record is from RNAcentral. Lineage: Eukaryota; Fungi; Neocallimastigomycota; Neocallimastigomycetes; Neocallimastigales.
GUACACGCUGUGACUAGCAUAUCAAUAAGCGGAGGAAAAGGUACCUACGCUUAGGAUGUUGACGAGACUGUCGAUCUCAUCUAUACAUGACUCUGCGCAUAUCAAUAAGCGGAGGAAAAGAAACUAACAAGGAUUCCCCUAGUAACGGCGAGUGAAGCGGGAAGAGCUCAAAUUUGAAAUCUUAAAGGGUUUCCCUUUACGAAUUGUAGUUUAAAGAAGUGUUUUCUGUUGAGGUUUUGGUAAAAGUUCUUUGGAAUAGGACAUCAUAGAGGGUGAGAAUCCCGUAUUUGACCUUUACUUUCAACUUUGUGAUACACUUUCAAAGAGUCGGAUUGUUUGGGAAUGCAGUCCAAAAUGGGUGGUAAAUUUCAUCUAAAGCUAAAUAUUGGCGAGAGACCGAUAGCGAACAAGUACCGUGAGGGAAAGAAGAAAAGAACUUUGAAAAGAGAGUUAGACAGUACGUGAAAUUGUCAAAAGGGAAGCGUUUGACACCAGUGUUGUUUUUCUGAAAAUCAAUUAAAGAACUGUUUAUGCUAAGUUGUUUAGACUUUAUCAGCUAUCUGUUUAGUUUUGAGCUUUUCUUUAAUGCACUUUUCAGUUAACAAGUCAACAUCAAUUUCUUUUGCUGUAAAAAAGCUUGAGGAAGGUGGCUUGAGAUUCGUCUUAAGUGUUUAUAGCCUCUUGCCUAUGCAGUCGGAGAGAUUGAGGUCUGCAGCGUAGAUCCUUCGGGGCUAAAUGCAUUUGUGCUAAGUUAUAGCAUUUUACAGACAACUUGUUGACUAUGAUUUGUCUUGUAGCUUACUCGCUUAUGUUAUUUUACCUACGCUUAGGAUGUUGACGAGACUGUCGAUCUC